CACCCCUCUGUUCUCUAACCAAAGCCAAGAACUCAAACCCGGGUUCCAUUCUCAUCCCUCAUUUUUUUUGUAUAAGCGGAUGGUUACACCAUUCUGGUGCCAGAACAGCCCAUAAGAUCUAGAUACGAAAGAUCUCGCAAGACUGGCGAGCGAACAUCACCCAACCUCCAAAUCCAGUCUCCUGAGUGCUUCGCCACGAAUACAGCAACCCAAUCUAUCACAAUAUUCGUCUUUUGAUAGACAUACCAGGUCAGC
RNAcentral lists this long non-coding RNA (255 nucleotides) under Elaeis guineensis (African oil palm). RNAcentral describes it as "long non-coding RNA (EGUI_LNC011417)". Lineage: Eukaryota; Viridiplantae; Streptophyta; Magnoliopsida; Arecales; Arecaceae. The record is from RNAcentral.